Molecule: ribosomal RNA, 207 nt
Filed under: uncultured bacterium
Lineage: Bacteria
Description: partial 16S ribosomal RNA
Rfam family: Bacterial small subunit ribosomal RNA
Source: RNAcentral
GUCGACGAUUACUCCUACGGGAGGCAGCAGUGGGGAAUAUUGGACAAUGGGCGCAAGCCUGAUCCAGCCAUGCCGCGUGUGUGAAGAAGGCCUUCGGGUUGUAAAGCACUUUCGGACGGAACGAAAUCGUCCCCGUUAAUAGCGGGGAUGGAUGACGGUACCGUAAGAAGAAGCACCGGCUAACUACGUGCCAGCAGCCGCGGUAAU